This 305-nucleotide ribosomal RNA is filed under the name Bacillus sp. mrc49. RNAcentral's name for it is "bacterial LSU rRNA". It matches the Rfam family "Bacterial large subunit ribosomal RNA", at positions 596 to 900 of the family's 2925-position model. Lineage: Bacteria; Bacillati; Bacillota; Bacilli; Caryophanales; Bacillaceae. The record is from RNAcentral.
AUGGCGUGCCUUUUGUAGAAUGAACCGGCGAGUUACGAUUUCAUGCGAGGUUAAGUUGAUGAGACGGAGCCGCAGCGAAAGCGAGUCUGAAUAGGGCGAAUGAGUAUGAGGUCGUAGACCCGAAACCAGGUGAUCUACCCAUGUCCAGGGUGAAGUUCAGGUAACACUGAAUGGAGGCACGAACCCACGCACGUUGAAAAGUGCGGGGAUGAGGUGUGGGUAGCGGAGAAAUUCCAAUCGAACCUGGAGAUAGCUGGUUCUCUCCGAAAUAGCUUUAGGGCUAGCCUCAAGAUGAGAGUAUUGGA